This 67-nucleotide transfer RNA is filed under the name Pristimantis fenestratus (Rio Mamore robber frog). RNAcentral describes it as "tRNA-Phe". It matches the Rfam family "tRNA". Rfam says of the family: Transfer RNA (tRNA) molecules are approximately 80 nucleotides in length. Their secondary structure includes four short double-helical elements and three loops (D, anti-codon, and T loops). The record is from RNAcentral. Lineage: Eukaryota; Metazoa; Chordata; Amphibia; Anura; Strabomantidae.
GUUUAAAUAGCUUAAAUUAAAGUAUGGCACUGAAAAUGCUAAGACGGAUUUUACCAUCCUUUAAACA